Molecule: ribosomal RNA, 393 nt
Filed under: uncultured bacterium
Lineage: Bacteria
Description: partial 16S ribosomal RNA
Rfam family: Bacterial small subunit ribosomal RNA
Source: RNAcentral
AUACGGAGGAUCCGAGCGUUAUCCGGAUUUAUUGGGUUUAAAGGGAGCGUAGGUGGACAGUUAAGUCAGUUGUGAAAGUUUGCGGCUCAACCGUAAAAUUGCAGUUGAUACUGGUUGUCUUGAGUACAGUAGAGGUGGGCGGAAUUCGUGGUGUAGCGGGGAAAUGCUUAGAUAUCACGAAGAACUACGAUUGCAAAGGCUGCUCACUGGACUGCAACUGACACUGAUGCUCGAAAGUGUGGGUGUCAAACAGGAUUAGAUGCCCUGCUAGUCCACACAGUAAACGAUGAAUACUCGCUGUUUGCGAUAUACAGUAAGCGGCCAAGCGAAAGCAUUAAGUAUUCCACCUGGGGACUACGCCGUCAACGGUGAGGCUGAAAGGAAUUGACGGGG